UGAACGCUAGCGGCAGGCUUAACACAUGCAAGUCGAGGGGUAUCACGCUUUCGGGCGUGAGAGACCGGCGCACGGGUGCGUAACGCGUACGCAAUCUACCUUUUGCAGAGGGAUAGCCCAGAGAAAUUUGGAUUAAUACCUCAUAGUAUAGAACAAUCGCAUGAUUGAACUAUUAAAGUCACAACGGCAAAAGAUGAGCAUGCGUCCCAUUAGUUAGUUGGUAAGGUAACGGCUUACCAAGACUACGAUGGGUAGGGGUCCUGAGAGGGAGAUCCCCCCACACUGGUACUGAGACACGGACCAGACUCCUACGGGAGGCAGCAGUGAGGAAUAUUGGACAAUGGGCGCAAGCCUGAUCCAGCCAUGCCGCGUGCAGGAUGACGGUCCUAUGGAUUGUAAACUUGCUUUUUGUACAGGAAGAACACCUCUACGUGUAGAGAUUUGACGGUACUGUAAGAAUAAGGAUCGGCUAACUCCGUGCCAGCA
Molecule: ribosomal RNA, 486 nt
Filed under: uncultured bacterium
Lineage: Bacteria
Description: bacterial SSU rRNA
Rfam family: Bacterial small subunit ribosomal RNA
Source: RNAcentral